UACAGAGGGUGCGAGCGUUGUCCGGAAUCACUGGGCGUAAAGGGCGCGUAGGCGGCUUUUCAAGCGUGCGGUGAAAGCUCGGGGCUUAACUCCGAGUCUGCCGUGCGAACUGGGAGGCUUGAGUCUGGUAGAGGUCGAUGGAAUUCCGGGUGUAGCGGUGGAAUGCGUAGAGAUCCGGAAGAACACCGGUGGCGAAGGCGGUCGACUGGGCCAGUACUGACGCUGAGGCGCAACAGCGUGGGGAGCAAACAGG
RNAcentral lists this ribosomal RNA (253 nucleotides) under uncultured bacterium. RNAcentral describes it as "partial 16S ribosomal RNA". It matches the Rfam family "Bacterial small subunit ribosomal RNA", at positions 524 to 776 of the family's 1533-position model. The record is from RNAcentral.